Molecule: ribosomal RNA, 443 nt
Filed under: uncultured bacterium
Lineage: Bacteria
Description: bacterial SSU rRNA
Rfam family: Bacterial small subunit ribosomal RNA
Source: RNAcentral
AACGCGAAGAACCUUACCUGGGCUAGACAACGGUGGACAGCCUAUGAAAGUAGGUCUUCCCUUCGGGGACUGCCGGUUCAGGUGUUGCAUGGCUGUCGUCAGCUCGUGUCGUGAGAUGUUGGGUUAAGUCCCGCAACGAGCGCAACCCUUGUCUCAUGUUGCCAGCGCGUUAUGGCGGGGACUCGUGAGAGACUGCCGGGGUCAACUCGGAGGAAGGUGGGGAUGACGUCAAGUCAUCAUGCCCCUUAUGUCCAGGGCUUCACACAUGCUACAAUGGCCGGUACAAAGGGCUGCGAUGCCGUGAGGUUAAGCGAAUCCUUUAAAGCCGGUCUCAGUUCGGAUCGGGGUCUGCAACUCGACCCCGUGAAGUCGGAGUCGCUAGUAAUCGCAGAUCAGCAACGCUGCGGUGAAUACGUUCCCGGGCCUUGUACACACCGAGUAUA